This 115-nucleotide ribosomal RNA is filed under the name Cordylochernes scorpioides. Lineage: Eukaryota; Metazoa; Arthropoda; Arachnida; Pseudoscorpiones; Chernetidae. The record is from RNAcentral.
AUGGCCAUACCACAUUGAAAACACCGGUUCUCGUCCGAUCACCGAAGUUAAGCAAUGUCGGGCCCGGUCAGUACUUGGGAGGGUAACCACAUGGGAACACUGGGUGCUAUAGGCU